CCUACGGGUGGCAGCAGUGAGGAAUAUUGGUCAAUGGACGAAAGUCUGAACCAGCCAAGUCGCGUGAAGGAUGACGGCCCUAUGUGUUGUAAACUUCUUUUGUACAGGAAUAAAAGCAUGCACGUGUGCCUUUUUGCAAGUACUUUAUGAAUAAGGAUCGGCUAACUCCGUGCCAGCAGCCGCGGUAAUACGGAGGAUCCGCGCGUUAUCCGGAUUUCUUGGGUUUAAAGGGUGCGUAGAGGGGAUGUUAAGUUAGUUGUGAAAUCUUGCGGCUCAACCUCGAAAUUGCAAUUGAUACUGGUCGUCUAGAGUGUAGUAGCGGUAGGCGGAAUGUGUGGUGUAGCGGUGAAAUGCUUAGAUAUCACGCAGAACACCGAUUGCGAAGGCAGCUUACCAAGCUGCGACUGACAUUGAGGCACGAAAGCGUGGGUAUCAAACAGGAUUAGAUACCCGAGUAGUC
This 460-nucleotide ribosomal RNA is filed under the name uncultured bacterium. RNAcentral's name for it is "partial 16S ribosomal RNA". It matches the Rfam family "Bacterial small subunit ribosomal RNA", at positions 338 to 795 of the family's 1533-position model. The record is from RNAcentral.